This 5493-nucleotide long non-coding RNA is filed under the name Sus scrofa (pig). Its description in RNAcentral is "lncRNA (ENSSSCG00030049837.1)". The record is from RNAcentral. Lineage: Eukaryota; Metazoa; Chordata; Mammalia; Artiodactyla; Suidae.
GGCGCCCGCCAGCGCUGGCUGAGGGAGAAACAGACUGAGAGGAUGGUUCCCGCCCAGGGUAGAGGCAGCCGCAAGCUGAGGACUGGGUCCGAAUUCCCUGGAGGGAGGCCAAGGCUCAGAGAAGAGACCUUGGCUAGUGAGUGGCAGAGGCUCCAGAAGUUGCUGCUAAAUUCCAUAUCUGCUGAUUCCUGCCUGGUGCUGUGUGAUUUUUAUACAAGUUUGAGCCUGGCAUUCGAAGCACUCUGGAGUCAGUCUCCAGCUUACUACCUACCGGAUCCUCAGAUCUCCAGGAUGAGGUGGUAAUAAUUCAUGGGGAUGAAGAACCCAGACUUUGUGGCAGACAGCCCUGGGUUCAAUCCCAGGCACUGUCACUUCACUAGCUGUGUGACCCCAGGCAAGUUCUGUAAACUCUCUGAGCUUGGGUUUCCUUAUCCCUAGUGACACUCACUUCAUAAGAUUGUGGGGGAAUCUCAUGAGAUACCACAUGUAAAGCUCUCAGCACCCAGCCUAGUUCCUUAGGCACUUAAGAAACAGCAGCUGUGGUUACAUCUCUGGCCUUAUCUCUAGUACACAGACCCCUUUACUCCAGUCUAUGCAUUUCACUGGACUUUCAUGGCCCAGCCUAUUUAUUUACUUAUUUAUUUAUUUUUGGCGCACCCACGGCAUAUUGAAGUUUCCUGGCAAGAGAUCAAACCCGCGCCACAGUGCCAAUGCAAGAUCCUUAAUUCACUGAGCCACGAGGGAGCUCCCAGUUAAUUUUUUUGAUAUUACUUUUUUAUUUUACUUUUUUGAUAUUACUUUUUUAUUUUACUUUUUUUGAUAUUACUAUUUUAUUUUAUUCCUUAGCCAUUAAAAUCAUUCAAGCAUGUAUUUUUCUACAUAACUUAUUGCGAGCUGAUCAAUGAAUGUUAAAUAAAAUGUUAAUUUUCAUCAUUUGCUUCAAUGCAUGUCUUCUUGACCAAGUCUUCAUUUUUUAUUCCAUAAUAUUUUAUGCCUCACCUUUCAGGCAAUAAAGAAUUUUUAUUUUUUUUAAAUAAUUUUUUUUUUUUUGGUAUUUUUAGGGCUGCACUUGUAGCAUAUGGAAGUUCCUAGGCUAGGGGUGGAAUCGGAGCUGUAGCUACCAGCCUAGCCAUAGCCAAAGCAAAGCCAGAUCCCAACCACAUUUGCAACAUACAUUGUUUGAGACCUACACCACAGCUUAUGGCAAUGCCGGAUCCUCAACCCACCGAAUGAGGCCGGGGAUCGAACCCGCGUCCUCUUGGAUACUAGUCAGGUUUGUUACCACUGAGCCACAAUGGGAACUCCAAUGAGGAAAUUUUAAACACCACAGCUAAGAACCUGAACAUUCAUCUGCAAGUACCCAUACGCUUCUUACAUGCAGUUGUGCUCUUAGUGGUUUUCUUACAGCCAUCUUUGAUGAUAAGUUUUGGGAAAACAUUUGUCAUGACAAUCUUCAUUCGCCUUCAACUUUAUAGGCUCUUUUGCACCUUGAAGAGCCUGGUGACAGGCCCCUAGGCACUGCUGCCCCAUCCAUACGGCUGACGGGUGCCUUCUUUCCUCAGCAGCCACACUGGAAAAAGCUUCAUGACCUAGUUUAAAUGUCACCUUCUCCAGGAAGCCUUCCCCGCCUGCCUCCCCUCUCAUGGUCAGAGUGCCUCUUUCCCUCUUGGGACCUUUCCUGUGUUCUACCUCAACAAACGAAGCUUUGUUUUCAUGUCAUGUUUAUCUGUUAGGUAAGUUCCAUCAAGGGACCAGGUGGUAUUUCUCCAUGCCCCUCAGCAUCCAGAGCCUGGCUUGGCAUGCAGAAGAUGGCUAACAAAUAUUGAUUAAAUGAUUCACUCAUCUUCCCAGCAAAAACUGGCAGAAAUGAAUGAGAUCUGAAGUCAGAGACUCAGCAGGCCCAGCUUCAAGCCCCACUCUCCACCCUUCCAGCUGAGCGCCCUUGGACAGGCUACUGCUCCACCUCUCAAUGUCCCGUUUCCUCAAUCAUCAAAUAUUGAUAAUGCUUCUGCUUGGCUAAUGUCACAGGACUUCAGGGAUAUUAUUAAAAUGAUGUUGGUGGAGUUCCUGUCGUGGCUCGGAGGUAACAAAUUCAACUAGUAUCCAUGGGGACUCAGGUUCCAUCCCUGGCCUUGCUCAGUGGGUUAAGGGUCCAGCAUUGCCAUGAGCUGUGGUGUAGGCUGCAGCUGUGGCUCGAAUCUCGUGUUGCUGUGGCUGUGGUGUAGGCUGGCAGCUGCAGCUCCAAUUCAGCCCCUAGGCUGGGAACCUCCAUAUGCCCUGGUCCAGCCCUAAAAAAAAAAAAAAAAAAAAGAUGGAGAUGAUGACCAUUAAUAUUUCUGUAACCUACUAUGUGCCAAGCUCCUCUGAUCCUCAUGACACCCUCUGAAAUGGGCACUAUUAUUAUCCCCAUUUUACAGAUGAGGGAACCUGGAAGGAAUUGUGGCAGAGCAGGUUUGGGAAAGGAGCAGGGCCCCAGGGCCAGGAAGGGAAAUGGGGGUGGCAGGGUGGGGCUGAGAGGAACGAAGGGAGCCAGCAAGGGGGCUGAGAGCCAGCUCUCUGUGGUUGAGUUUCGGGCAGCUGGGGCUGGCUUUAGAGUUUCACUGCCUGGGAACUGACUAAUUCUUGUAAGAGGUGUGGGACACAGAUCUGCAGUCUGUCACCCUGAAUUUGAAUUCCUGCCCCAUUCCUUCCUUAGCGUCGUGCUCUUAGGUUGCUGGACCUCUCUGAGCCUCAACUUACUCAUCUUUGAAAUGGGAAUGGCAAAAGUGACCUUUCCACUUACAAUGAGGAGUCAUUAAGGUGUUGGAUAGGGAGUCCUCUGAGGAGUGCAUAAUAGGUAUUUAAUAUAUUUUCACUGAUGGCGUUCCCUUCGUGGCUCAGUGGCUAACGAACCCAACUAGGAUCCAUGAGGAUGCGGGUUUGAUCCCUGGCCUCCCUCAGUGGGUUAAGGAUCCGGAGUUGCCGUGGGCUGUGGUGUAGGUCACAGACAUGGCUCCAAUCUGGCAUUUCUGUAGCUGUGGUGUAGGCAGGCAGCUGCCCCUUCAAUUCGACCCCUAGCCUGGGAACUCUCAUAUGCUGUGGAUGCAGCCAUAAAAAGCAAAAAUAUAUAUAUAAAUAUAUUUUUCCACUGAGAUUUUUGCCUUUUUUUUUUUUUUUUUUUGUCUUUUUGCCAUUUCUCAAGCCGCUCCCACGGCAUAUGGAGGUUCUCAGGCUAGGGGUCGAAUCGGAGUUGUAGCCACCAGCCUACACCAGAGCCACAGCAACGCGGGAUCCGAGCCGUGUCUGCAAACUACACCACAGCUCAUGGCAACGCCGGUUCCUUAACCCACCGAGCAAGGCCAGGGAUAGAACACGAAACCUCAUGGUUCCUAGUUGGAUUCAUUAACCACUGAACCACGAUGGGAACUCCUGCAAUUUUCUUUCUUUCUUUUUUGUCUUUUUUGUCUUUUUUUUUUUAGGGCCACACCUGUGACAUAUGUAAGUUCCCAGGCUAGGGGUUGAAUCAGAGCUGUAGCGGCCUGUCUACAUCACAGCCACAGCAACGCCAGAUGCGAGCCACACCUGUGACCUACACUGCAGCUUGGGGCAAUGACACUGAGCAGGGUAACCCACUGAGCAGGGCCAGGGAUUGAACCUGCAAUCUCAUGGAAACUAGAGGGGUUCCUUUCCACUGAGCCAUUCAUGCCCUAAACUCUUCUGUUUCCCAGGCUUGGCUUACAUGGCUCCAUAUCCACAAGGCCCCCUUCCUUCCUUCCAUCCCCAUGUGACAAGUCUUUUUUUUUUUUAUUUUUUUUUUUUAUUUUUUUUUGUCUUUUUGGGGCCACACCCACGGCAUAUGGAGGUUCCCAGGCUAAGGGUCCAAUCAGAGCUCUAGCCGCUGGCCUAUGCCACAGGUACAUCAACUCCGGAUCCAAGGCGUGCCUGCGACCUACACCACAUCUCACAGCAAUGCCAGAUCCUUAACCCACUGAUCAAGGCCAGGGAUCAAAACUGCGUUCUCAUGGAUACUAGUCAGAUUUGUUCUGCCGAGCCACAACAGGAACUCCUCCAUGUGACAAAUCUUACCCAUCCUUCAAGGCCCAACUCAAAUGGCAGAAUGGCAGGAGUAGCGUCGAAAGUCAGACCUCCAAUAAAACUUCAAACCCUUUGGGAGCAGGACCCAUGCUUUGUUUUCACCUUCAUGCCCUCCUCUCCGAGAAGGCCAGGGACACAGUAGGCCCGCAGUAAGUGAUGAUGGAGAUAAGAGCUUACAUUUCCUGAGCGCUUCCUCAGUGUAAAGCACCAGCCUGGCAUUUACAUGCAUUCGUUAUAUUGAAACCUCCCAACUGGCCUACAACGUAGGUACAUUGAGGAAACUGAGUCUCAGAUAUGUAAGGGACUUCACCAAGGGCUGGCUAAAGAUGAAACCAGAAUCUGCACUCAGAUCUCUGAGCUAUUUUGGACAUAGAACUCAGCCCCAGAACCAAUCCCAUUGAAGGAGGGUAUGGUAUGUUCUGCCAGUGAAGCAGAGGUUCCAGUGCUGCAGACAUUGUUGGGGCUGGGAAGAGUGUGCCCACAGCUGGAUAUGUUAGGGGUGCUUUGUCCCAUUUUCCAGAUGAGGAAGCUGAGGCAUGAGGGACGUUAAUUGAAGCUGCACAGCUGGUAAGGGAGGGAGCCCCUGUUCUAGACAGACCCCAAUGCCCUGGAAAAGCCCCCAAACCAAAGCAAACUUGCAUCCCAGCUGGUGUACCUUGUGCCUGGUGUAUCUGCUAAAAAUGCCUCUGAUUCCCUCGAUUCAAAGUCCUACUUAUUAAAUACAAAAUGCUUGAUAGUAGCUUCCUGAAAGCACAGACCUCUUGUUUUGGGGCUCCCCACUGUGGUGUCCGUUCACAAAAAUUCAAAAUAAGACGGAGCUGUGGGAGGAAGAGAGGAAAAUGUCUGCUCCAUCGUCUUUGUGCUUCUCUGUACAGUCUUUUCCAACCUUUUUUUUUUUUUUUUUUUUUUUUUUUUUUUGUCUUUUUGUCUUUUCUUGAGCCGCUCCUGUGGCAUAUGGAGCUUCCCAGGCUAGGGGUCUAAUUGGAGCUGUAGCUACCGGCCUACGCCAUAGCCACAGCAACGUGGGAUCUGAGCCGCAUCUGUGACCUACACCACAGCUCACGGCAACACCAUAUCCUUAACCCACUGAGCAAGGCCAGGGAUCAAACCCGCAACCUUGAGGUUCCUAGUCGGAUUCGUUAACCACUGCGCCAUGACGGGAACUCCUUUUCCAACCAUUCUAAAGUAAGCAUGUAUUGGAGUUCCCAUUGUGGCUCAAUGGUAAUGAACCCGAAUAGUAUCCAUGAGGAUAUAGGUUUGAUCCCUGGCAUCCACCAUUGCUGUGAGCUGUGGUGUAGGUUGCAGACAUGGUUCGGAUCCUACAUUGCUGUGGCUGUGGUAUAAGCUGGAAGCUGCAGCUCCAAUUCAACCUCUAGCCUGGAAACUAUACGCCGCAGGUGUGGCCCUAAAAAGUAAAAA